GACGAACGCUGGCGGCGUGCUUAACACAUGCAAGUCGAACGGAAAGGCCCUGCUUUUGUGGGGUGCUCGAGUGGCGAACGGGUGAGUAACACGUGAGUAACCUGCCCUUGACUUUGGGAUAACUUCAGGAAACUGGGGCUAAUACCGGAUAGGAGCUCCUGCUGCAUGGUGGGGGUUGGAAAGUUUCGGCGGUUGGGGAUGGACUCGCGGCUUAUCAGCUUGUUGGUGGGGUAGUGGCUUACCAAGGCUUUGACGGGUAGCCGGCCUGAGAGGGUGACCGGCCACAGUGGGAGUGGGAAGGGGCCCAGACUCCACCGGGCGGAAGGGGGGGGGAAUUGUGCAAAAAGGGCGGAGGGAGGAUGGAGGAACGCCGGGUGGGGGAGGACGGCCUUCGGGUUGGAAACCGUUUUCGCGUGUGACGAAGCGUGAGUGACGGUAAUGGGGAAAGAAGCACCGGCAAACUCCGG
This 467-nucleotide ribosomal RNA is filed under the name uncultured bacterium. RNAcentral describes it as "partial 16S ribosomal RNA". It matches the Rfam family "Bacterial small subunit ribosomal RNA", at positions 28 to 506 of the family's 1533-position model. The record is from RNAcentral.